AUUGAACGCUGGCGGCAGGCCUAACACAUGCACGUCGAACGAGUGGCGGACGGGUGAGUAAUGUCUGGGAAACUGCCCGAUGGAGGGGGAUAACUUCUGGAAACGGUAGCUAAUACCGCAUACCAUCGGAUGUGCCCAGAUGGGAUUAGCUAGUAGGUGGGGUAAUGGCUCACCUAGGCGACGAUCACUAGCUGGUCUGAGAGGAUGACAAGCCACACUGGAACUGAGACACGGUCCAGACUCCGAAGGGAGGAAGCAGUGGGGAAGAUUGCACAAUGGGAGCAAGCCUGAUGCAGCCAUGCCGCGUGUAUGAAGAAGGCCUGCGGGGUGGAAAGUACUUUCAGCGAGGAGGCGUUACUCGCAGAAGAAGCACCGGCUAACUCCGUGCCAGCAGACGCGGUAAUAC
RNAcentral lists this ribosomal RNA (406 nucleotides) under uncultured bacterium. RNAcentral describes it as "partial 16S ribosomal RNA". It matches the Rfam family "Bacterial small subunit ribosomal RNA", at positions 29 to 526 of the family's 1533-position model. The record is from RNAcentral.